This 1426-nucleotide ribosomal RNA is filed under the name metagenome. Its description in RNAcentral is "bacterial SSU rRNA". It matches the Rfam family "Bacterial small subunit ribosomal RNA". The record is from RNAcentral.
GGAGGCAAGUAAAGUGGCGAACGGGUGAGUAACACGUAAGAAUCUCCCCUUCAGUGAAGAAUACCCUCGAGAAAUCGAGGCUAAUACUGCAUACGCCCUUCGGGGGAAAGACGGCCUCUUGCUGUCGCUGAUGGAUGAGCUUGCGGACUAUUAGCUUAUUGGUGGGGUAAAGGCCUACCAAGGCUGUGAUGGGUAGCCGGCCUGAGAGGGUGAACGGCCACACUGGGACUGAGAUACGGCCCAGACUCCUACGGGAGGCAGCAGUGGGGAAUUUUGCGCAAUGGACGAAAGUCUGACGCAGCGACGCCGCGUGGAGGAUGAAGGUUUUCGGAUUGUGAACUCCUGUUAAGUGGGAAGAAAGACCUGUGAAUAAUAAGCGCAGGGGAUGACGGUACCACUAGAGAAAGCUCCGGCUAACUUCGUGCCAGCAGCCGCGGUAAUACGAAGGGAGCAAGCGUUAUUCGGAAUUACUGGGCGUAAAGAGCGUGUAGGCGGUUAAUUAAGUUAGUUGUCAAAUUUCCUGGCUUAACCGGGGGCCGGCAAUUGAUACUGGUUGACUUGAGUGUAAGAGAGAGAAGUGGAAUUCUCGGAGUAGCGGUAAAAUGCAUAGAUCUCGAGAGGAACACCAGUUGCGAAGGCGGCUUCUUGGCUUACUACUGACGCUAAAGCGCGAAAGCGUGGGGAGCAAACAGGAUUAGAUACCCUGGUAGUCCACGCCGUAAACGAUGAUCACUGGAUGUGGGUUUUGUUUGACAAAAUCUGUGUCGAAGCUAACGCGUUAAGUGAUCCGCCUGGGGAGUACGGUCGCAAGAUUAAAACUCAAAGGAAUUGACGGGGGUCCGCACAAGCGGUGGAACAUGUGGUUUAAUUCGACACUACGCGAGGAACCUUACCUGGGCUUGACAUGUAAUUGACCGCUGUAGAGAUACAGUUUUCCAAGUUUACUUGGACAGUUACACAGGUGCUGCAUGGCUGUCGUCAGCUCGUGUCGUGAGAUGUUGGGUUAAGUCCUUUAACGAGCGCAACCCUUGCCGUCAGUUGCUACCUUCUUUGGAAGGGGCACUCUGGUGGGACUGCCUAGGAAACUAGGAGGAAGGUGGGGAUGACGUCAAGUCCUCAUGGCCCUUAUGUCCAGGGCUACACACGUGUUACAAUGGCUAGUACAAAGGGCAGCGAUCCCGCGAGGGUUAGCUAAUCUCAAAAAACUAGUCUAAGUUCGGAUUGGAGUCUGCAAUUCGACUCCAUGAAGCUGAAAUCGCUAGUAAUCGCGCAUCAGAACGGCGCGGUGAAUACGUUCUCGGACCUUGUACACACCGCCCGUCACACCACGAAAAUUGUCUAUACCCGAAAUUAUCUUAGCUAACCUUUUUAAGGAGGCGGGUAAUGAAGGUAUGGAGGGUAAUUGGGGUGAAGUCGUAACAAGGUA